RNA transcript from Cucurbita pepo subsp. pepo (vegetable marrow), 1703 nucleotides. RefSeq lists it as uncharacterized. The record is from RefSeq and is a predicted model, not a curated record. NCBI's taxonomy places the organism in Eukaryota, Viridiplantae, Streptophyta, Magnoliopsida, Cucurbitales, Cucurbitaceae.
UCUCCUUGAAGGGAAAGGAUCGUCCGAUUGUCCUAUCGUCAAUGGCGACACCAACCACUCCUUCGCUAAUUAGUUCGGAGCAGUUCAAAUCGUUCACUUCAAUCCUUCCGCCUCUGCCGCUGAGAUUUACCGCCGCCAAAACUAAGAAUCAAUGGCGAGUGAGGUGCGCAUUGUCCUCAAACAAUUGGCGGGAGAGCAGGCGACUGUUCUCCAUCUCUCUUGUCUUCUCAAAUUUGUUCCUGAUUCCUCACCAUGCCUCUGCCGGAAGCUUUCUGGACAAAUACGUGAAGAAGAAAAAGCUGGAUCCGCUUGAAGUUUAUGUUCCAGCCGUCAUACUGACGCAGUUACAAAUCAAAGACGUCGGAAAAAUUUUGGAAAGUAGUAAACCAGAAUACGCGACAUGCCGAUCUCUCUUGCGUUCUGGAAUUGCAUCAUCACUUCGCGUAAAUAUUCGAGCAGUUGCACAAUAUGCCUUGGAGGAUGGAAAUGGAAACAUUGCGUUUGACAAUGUUGAUCAAUGUCUCAGAGCCCUGGAAGAACUUGAUUCUUCCCUUUUACGUGCCACAAGAAAUGAUCGGGGAACCUCAAUUGAGUCAAUGAAGACCAAUAUUGACACUGCCGUCCUUGCUCUAGACCGGCUCCUUCAAACUGUUCCUCCUGAUGUCCUGGCUAAAGGGAAGGCUAUUGCUGAUGCUUAUAAUACUCCGGAAGAGGAAGAAACCGAAAUUGCAGACCCAGAACUGAAGCAGUUGGAAUCAAUUUUAUGAUAUAGAUGUCCAGUAGAACUGAGGAUUCAUCCCAACUCAAGCAAUCUUCUUUAAUGUCCAGUUUGAUGAGGAUUCAGAAUUUAGAUUCGGCUACCCUGGAGCUUUUAUGAUUGAGACACCGAAAAGAAAGGUACACUUUAUUGGUCUAAGUAGUAACUUUCAAUUUUUCAAGUCUUUCUUAGUCAUCCUAGUCUCAAGAUCAUUAUCAUUCUGAUAUAGUCUCAGUUCAUUCAUAUACUCUUCAUUUACUUGAGUGUCACAUAUACCCCCAGCUUUCGCCUUGGUUUGUCCUAUAUAGGUAGUAACUUUCGAUUCUUUUAAGCUUUUUUUUAGUCAUCCUAUCCUUAGUAUUACUCUCAUUCGAAUGUGAUCUCAAUCCAUUUAUGUACCACUUUUUAACUCAUAGAAACAUAGAAACAGGAAUAAAUAGGAAAUGUGAUAGAGAGGCAUUCAAUUAAACGUUUACCAUUACAUUUUUAGUUAUAAAACCAACCUUGGGCCGAGUACUAAUUUCUUCGGCCCAUUAAUAACGUUGGGCUUGAACAAGCCUUAUAUGAAAAAACACUCUUUCCUUAUUUAUUCUUUAAAGCAUACGGGCAUUGCUAUAUGUACCUCUCUCUACUUUUUCAUCAUCUAACAGCCCUUGAAUCUAAAUAUUAUCAGAUUUACUCUCUUUUCACUAAUAUUAGAUUAAACGAGUUACUAAUCUAUAUCUCUCUUUUAUAUUAGUGAGCUUAAGUUUGUUUAAUAUUUUGCUAACACUGACUUUCAAGAACUCAAAAACAAUGGUUCGAGGACGGAGAAAUUUCACAAAUUAUAUGUUGGUCGAGAAAUGAAAUGACCUUCAACAAAAUAGAAGAAUUGUACACGAGUCCUAUGCUUAAGAUGGAGGUAAUAGUUUAUGAAGUUUGCAAAAUUUUUAGUCAGUCAAUUUUU